AUCAAUGAACUUUUUGGCCAGC
This 22-nucleotide microRNA is filed under the name Bos taurus (domestic cattle). RNAcentral's name for it is "bta-miR-2285ch". The record is from miRBase by way of RNAcentral. Lineage: Eukaryota; Metazoa; Chordata; Mammalia; Artiodactyla; Bovidae.